AUAUGCACAUAGAUUAAGACUCUACAUACUUUAAAAACGUCACCAACUAGAUCAAGUCUUAAAUGCAAUGUUUAAUAUGAUGUCACUGAUUGCUUUUUAUCACAGAUCCUGGGCUUAAAGGAAAGCUCCUAUUUCAGUAUGCAAGCAUGCAGGAAGAGAAAUAAAGGAAGGUCCACCGGCAAGGUGAAUGGAGGACUUAUACGGCUGUGCUGAGCUUAAGGCUAGAAGCUCUUCCCUCCCCCUUUAACAAUAGUGGGAUUUGAAAAAAGAUGGAAAUGGAUGAGUGCUGCAGAACCUGAGCCUCUUCAUGUUCCUGCUGUUGAAUGGAGCCAUGGAAAUCUGCCUCAAAACCUUACCUGUCUGUGCCUAAUCUAAUUGUAGUGGUGCUGGGAAACUCAUAAGCAGUGACAAAGGAUGUUCUGCUGCCCAUGGUGAUGAAGACUUGGCCCAAGUGUUUAUAUCUGAAAAAUUGUGUAACCACGGAAGAUAAUUAAAACUUAUCAUCCAGAUAAAAUAUUACAUGUGAACAUUUCACUGCUCCUUCUCCUUUGGUGGCUUUGUGUAAAUAAGUAUUUAUAAACCUGAGACAUCUCAAUUAUAUGGAUUUAACUUGGGGGUGAUUAUCAUAAUUGCUGUUUGCCUUUCCAAGGUGUUUAUGUUUUUAUUUGC
Crotalus tigris (Tiger rattlesnake) is the source of this 669-nucleotide long non-coding RNA. RefSeq lists it as uncharacterized. The transcript has 3 exons. The record is from RefSeq and is a predicted model, not a curated record. NCBI's taxonomy places the organism in Eukaryota, Metazoa, Chordata, Lepidosauria, Squamata, Viperidae.